AAAAUAUUCCAUUUAUACUUAGAAGCCUCACAUUCUUUUUUCACUUUAUGUUCAACUAAACAUUACUUAGUAUAUCGAAGUAACUACCAUUAGUUAUUCAAAUAAUCAUACAGCUCGUGAAAUUUUACUACAUAUAAAUAUCACAGUUUAAGCUUAAACGGUCGAUCUUUCUCAUGUCCUACCUCUUCUGCGCAAUCUAUUGUUGGUGAACCAGCUGCGACAGUGCUUCUCUUUUUGAAGCUAAAGAUCGAUUUAGCCUAGUGUAUGCAUCAAUAUAUAAGGUGUCAUAUAAGUUCAUACCGAUAUACUGAAAGGUUAAUUUUAAUGUGAUAUAUCUGUGUCAUACCUCAUUUUGGAGUGAUAGUAUAAACGCCCUUGACCUCCAUGCAUUAGCAUUUCGAUCUAUUUCUCUUUAUAAUGUGUAAAAGGACCCAGCUCACUUGGAGUCGCUUACCGAGUUUACUGUAUUGCAGUGUGCCCCACUACUCUGAAA
RNAcentral lists this long non-coding RNA (493 nucleotides) under Gossypium barbadense (sea-island cotton). RNAcentral's name for it is "long non-coding RNA (GBAR_LNC021468)". Lineage: Eukaryota; Viridiplantae; Streptophyta; Magnoliopsida; Malvales; Malvaceae. The record is from RNAcentral.